This is a long non-coding RNA of Bos taurus (domestic cattle), 1241 nucleotides long. Lineage: Eukaryota; Metazoa; Chordata; Mammalia; Artiodactyla; Bovidae. The record is from Ensembl.
UCCACAUUGGCAGGCAGAUUCUUAACCACGGCACCACCAGGGAAGUCCUUUUUAUACAUUAUAAAUUGAUCACAAUUGUCAUGCUUUUUACCAUCCAUCACUGUACAAGGUUACAAAUUUAUCAACUAUAUUCCUUAAGCUAUACAUCACAUCUCAGUGACUUAUUUAUUUUAUAACUGGACAUCUGUAGUGCUGAAUUCCCUUCGCCUGUUUUGUCUGCUGCCCCUCUGGCAACCACUAAUUUGUUCUCCACAUCUGUGAAGUCUGUUACUGUUUUCAUGUUUUUUCUUUUGUUUUGCAGAUUCCACAUAGUCCAUCAUGUAAAAUGCCGGGCUUGAUGAAGCACAAGGUGGCAUCAAGAAUACCGGGAGAAAUAUCACUAACCUCAGAUACACAGAUGACACCACCCUCAUGGCAGAAAGCGAAGAACUAAAGAGCCAUGAAAGUGAAAGAGGUGAGUGAAAAAGUUGGCUUAAAACUCAACAUUCAAAAACCCAAGACAUGGCAUCUGGUCCCAUUACUUCAUGGCAAAUAGAUGGGGAAACAAUGAAAACAGUGACAGACUUUAUUCUUGGGCACUCCAAAAUUGCUGCAGAUGGUGACUACAGCCAUGAAUUAAAAGAUACUUACUCCUUGGAAGAAAAGUUAUGACCAACGUAGACAGCAUAAUAAAAAUCAGAGAUAUUACUCUACCAACAAAGGUCCAUCUACUCCAAGCUCUGGUUUUUCCAGUAGUCAUGUAUGGAUGUGAGAGUUGGACUAGAAAGAAAGCUGUGUGCUGAAUAAUUGAUGCUUUUGAACUGUUGUAUUGAAGACACUUGAGAGUCCCCUGGACUGCAAGGAGAUCAAAGCAAUCAAUCCUAAAGGAAAUCAGUCCUGAAUAUUCACUGGAAGGACUGAUGCUGAAGCUGAAGCUCCAAUACUUUGGCUAGCUGAUGAGAAGAACUGACUUACUGAAAAAGACCCUGAUGCUGGGAAAGAUUGAAGGCAGGAAGAAAAGGGAAUGGCUGAGGAUGAGAUGGUUGGAUGGCAUCACCAACUCAAUGGAUGUGAGUUUGAGCAAGCUCUGGGAGUUGGUGAUGGACAGGGAAGUCUGAUGGGCUGCAGUCCAUGGGGUUGCAAAGAGUCAGACUCCACUGAGCAACUGAACUGAACUGAUGGUAUAUCUUCUUUAUCCAAUCAUGUAAUGAUAAUCAUUUAGGUUGCUUCCAUAACUUGGCAAAUAACCGUACAAUAAACAG